ACCCAGCUAGCUCACUCUGUAGAGCAUGUGACUCUUGAUCUCAGGGUUGUGAGUUUGAGGCCCACAUUGGGUG
Molecule: transfer RNA, 73 nt
Filed under: Ailuropoda melanoleuca (giant panda)
Lineage: Eukaryota; Metazoa; Chordata; Mammalia; Carnivora; Ursidae
Rfam family: tRNA
About the family: Transfer RNA (tRNA) molecules are approximately 80 nucleotides in length. Their secondary structure includes four short double-helical elements and three loops (D, anti-codon, and T loops).
Source: Rfam by way of RNAcentral